AUUUAGAGCCGCUAUGGGUCAGCCAGCCAAUGGCGUCCCUGAGCCUACUUUCUCAUUGGUUACUGGGUAGAAUACACGGACCAGUUUGGGAAUUAAAAUCGCACAGCUGCUCCGAGCCUUUUUAAAAUUUCCUUUUUCAAGAUACUUUUCGUUUUUAAAAAGCCUUGAGAUUCCCCGUGGAUUGUGGCAUUGCUGCUAAUCACCAGGAGAGGCCUCCCGAAGAGACCUCUUUUUCCUUCUUCUGCUGCCACAGGAAGUAACUAGACACUGCAGGAAGCAGCAGUCAGGUUCUCCAAGAAAACAGCGAUCCAGUGCUGCGCGCUCCUGAAGAAGGGGUCCUGCCAUGGGAUCCGGUGUUAGCCUCUCACCCCCAGGGCAGGGAUCAUGGAGUUUAGCUCCUGACCUUAAAUGAUCGUUCUCUUCCUAAAGUCUCAGAGAACUUUAGACACAAAGAGUUCAAAGUUGGCCGUGUCUGGAUCCAGAGUCACAUUGAAACUGACAGUAUCAACUGUCUGAACCUAGCCAGGACGCAUAUUGGAACUCGAACCCACGUGUCGGGACUCGAACCCAGCCUAAACCCAGAUUGGGACUUGAACCCAAGGUUUUAAAUUAGAAUCACUCACCCUGUGUCUGGACACACUGAGGUUCAGGUUCUUCGUGUCUCCGUGCGGAAGGACUUCAGCGAGAGACAAAGUGAUAGGCAAGAAAUAGAUUUAUUCGGAUAGGACGCUUGUGAGAGAUGGAAGCAGGCAGGCACCGAAGCUCUGCCCGAGGAUCUGGUGGGCUACAGUUUCAUCAUCCAGGGGAGUGGGGGUUGGAAAAGCCUGCCUCUUCCUUUCUGGGAGUAGUAGCUCCUCCUUAGUGCCUGGUAAGGUGUGUAUUCAAAUCUGCAGAAGGGUGGUCCUCAAACUCUUGCCCUUGGUCUGACUAUGAAUGCAGGGCUCAUCCCAUCUCCCCACCCAAAGACCUGAGGCAAUUCUCAAGGCUCCACUAAUGCAGCAAACCUGCCCUGUGCUGAUGGCUUUUUUGAGCAAUUUAUUUACUUACCGAGAUCUCCCACUGUCCCCUAAGUUUUCCUCAUUAUCUGUGGUCCUUUACUGGGACUCCUAAAAUACCUGUGUCUCCUCCAUCCCUAUCAACGUAAACUGCGUAAAGCGUGAGAGAGAAAAGAUGCCAGGUCAAGUCUGGCAUCCCAAGCUCUCAAGGACUGGGAAAAGAGGGAAGAGGAGCCGGUCCUAACCCAUGAAGUUCCUAUCCUUCCUCCGCAAAGUAGCUGUGGUGUAAGCCUCAAGAGCAUGUUUCAGAGAGCUCCUAGGAGAGUUCAGAAACUUACAAAGAGAAGACUAUCCAGAAUCCCCAAAUCCAGAGGACCCAGGUCCCUGGGGGCAGAGGUGGCUGAUCACGAAUCUUUCACUCCCACCUCAUCCUCUCAUCUCCCAUAUCAUUUUGUACCACCCCUGUGGGGAAACACCUGUCCCCCAUCUUUCCCUGACCCUGAUAUCUUGCCCUAACGCCUUCCUGGCUAUGAGAUAGCACAUAGCAAGCAUACGAUUAACUGUGAGAAGUGGGCUGAAAAGGACGGAACACCAGGACAUGCCAAAGUGCGGACUUUGGCAAUCCGGAUCAGUGCAGACACAUAUUGUUCUGUAGAUGUUAUGCAUAGGUAGCUGUCCCGGUCUUCAUCGUGCCCUAUAGAUAAUGAUCAGAUGCUCAAAGGUUAAGAGUUAAAAAAUAACUUGCUGUGUGCCUGGAGGCGGCCAUGCCCUGAAACCUUUUCCCCCUUACUCACAUUUUUUUUUCUUUUUUUUGUCUUUUGUUUUUAUAG
Long non-coding RNA from Phacochoerus africanus (Common warthog), 1825 nucleotides. RefSeq lists it as uncharacterized. Lineage: Eukaryota; Metazoa; Chordata; Mammalia; Artiodactyla; Suidae. The record is from RefSeq and is a predicted model, not a curated record. The transcript has 3 exons.